RNAcentral lists this ribosomal RNA (253 nucleotides) under uncultured bacterium. RNAcentral describes it as "partial 16S ribosomal RNA". It matches the Rfam family "Bacterial small subunit ribosomal RNA", at positions 524 to 776 of the family's 1533-position model. The record is from RNAcentral.
UACGGAGGAGGCAAGCGUUAUCCGGAAUUAUUGGGCGUAAAGCGUCCGUAGGUGGUUCACCAAGUCUGCUGUCAAAGGGUGCGGCUUAACCUCAUAAAGGCAGUGGAAACUGGUGAGCUAGAGUGCGGUAGGGGUAAGGGGAAUUCCCAGUGUAGCGGUGAAAUGCGUAGAGAUUGGGAAGAACAUCGGUGGCGAAAGCGCCUUACUGGGCCUUCACUGACACUGAGGGCCGAAAGCUAGGGGAGCGAAAGGG